UAACCUGCCUUACACAGGGGGAUAACAGUUAGAAAUGACUGCUAAUACCGCAUAAGACCCCGGUACCGCAUGGUACAGAGGUAAAAACUGAGGUGGUGUAAGAUGGACCCGCGUCUGAUUAGGUAGUUGGUGAGGUAACGGCUCACCAAGCCGACGAUCAGUAGCCGGCCUGAGAGGGCGGACGGCCACAUUGGGACUGAGACACGGCCCAGACUCCUACGGGAGGCAGCAGUGGGGAAUAUUGCACAAUGGGGGAAACCCUGAUGCAGCGACGCCGCGUGAGCGAUGAAGUAUUUCGGUAUGUAAAGCUCUAUCAGCAGGGAAGAAAAUGACGGUACCUGACUAAGAAGCCCCGGCUAACUACGUGCCAGCAGCCGCGGUAAUACGUAGGGGGCAAGCGUUAUCCGGAUUUACUGGGUGUAAAGGGAGCGUAGACGGCAUGGCAAGCCAGAUGUGAAAUACCGGGGCUCAACCCCGGGACUGCAUUUGGAACUGUUAAGCUGGAGUGUCGGAGAGGCAGGCGGAAUUCCUAGUGUAGCGGUGAAAUGCGUAGAUAUUAGGAGGAACACCAGUGGCGAAGGCGGCCUGCUGGACGAUAACUGACGUUGAGGCUCGAAAGCGUGGGGGAGCAAACAGGAUUAGAUACCCUGGUAGUCCACGCCGUAAACGAUGACUACUAGGUGU
Molecule: ribosomal RNA, 684 nt
Filed under: uncultured bacterium
Lineage: Bacteria
Description: bacterial SSU rRNA
Rfam family: Bacterial small subunit ribosomal RNA
Source: RNAcentral